This 417-nucleotide ribosomal RNA is filed under the name Chaetoceros neogracilis. Its description in RNAcentral is "partial Bacterial large subunit ribosomal RNA". It matches the Rfam family "Bacterial large subunit ribosomal RNA", at positions 2504 to 2915 of the family's 2925-position model. The record is from RNAcentral. Lineage: Eukaryota; Bacillariophyta; Thalassiosirophyceae; Chaetocerotales; Chaetocerotaceae.
AUCGACGGCAGUGUUUGGCACCUCGAUGUCGGCUCAUCUCAUCCUGGGGCUGGAGCAGGUCCCAAGGGUACGGCUGUUCGCCGUUUAAAGAGGUACGUGAGCUGGGUUUAGAACGUCGUGAGACAGUUCGGUCCCUAUCUGCCGUGGGCGCAGGAGAUUUGAGAAGAGUUGCUCCUAGUACGAGAGGACCGGAGUGAACGAACCUCUGGUGUUCGGGUUGUGUCGCCAGACGCAUUGCCCGGUAGCUAUGUUCGGACAGGAUAACCGCUGAAAGCAUCUAAGCGGGAAGCCCCCUUCAAGACGAGAUCUCCCUGAGGACUUGAUCCUCCUAAAGUGCCGUUGAAGACGACGACGUUGAUAGGCUGGGUGUGUAAGUACAGUGAUGUAUUGAGCUAACCAGUACUAAUUGCACGUGAG